RNAcentral lists this unclassified non-coding RNA (280 nucleotides) under Mycobacterium lentiflavum. Its description in RNAcentral is "partial 16S-23S ribosomal RNA intergenic spacer". Lineage: Bacteria; Bacillati; Actinomycetota; Actinomycetes; Mycobacteriales; Mycobacteriaceae. The record is from RNAcentral.
AAGGAGCACCACGAGAAACACUCCAAUUGGUGGAGUGUGAGCCGUGAGGGGUUCUCGUCUGUAGUGGACGAGGGCCGGGUGCACAACAACAGGCAAUCGCCAGACACACUAUUGGGCCCUGAGACAACACUCGGCCGACUUUGGUCGACGUGGUGUCCCUCCAUCUUGGUGGUGGGGUGUGGUGUUUGAGCAUUGAAUAGUGGUUGCGAGCAUCUAGACGGAUGCGACGCCCUCGGGCUGCGUGUUCGUCAAAAAUGUGUAAUUUUUCUUUUGGUUUUUG